Molecule: non-coding RNA, 679 nt
Organism: Bemisia tabaci
Lineage: Eukaryota; Metazoa; Arthropoda; Insecta; Hemiptera; Aleyrodidae
Source: RefSeq, a predicted model, not a curated record
UAGAGGAUAAUCAAUCGGAAGUAUAUUUUAUCGGAAACAUAUUCAUCUCGGGACCGCGUGUGAUAGUCGUGUGAUUCAAGUGCAUUACCAUCAGUGUAGUUUCGUGUGCAGUACUUUAUUUUCGUGUUCCGUACUUUAUUAUUAAAAUUUUUCUCAGUGAAUUGUUCCGUGAAUUUAGAAAGUGCAGUGAAUAGUUGAACAAAUUUCGUGUUCGGUACUUUAGUUUCGUGUUCGGUACUUUAGUUUCGUGUUCGGUACUUUAGUUUCGUGUUCGGUACUUCAUUAUUAAAAUUUUUCUCAGUGAUUCAUUACGUGAAUAUAGAAGGUGCAGUGAAUAGUUGAACAGCCUUACUUUCCGCAAGUUUCCUAUCCGCCGAAAGUUUCCGUCAGCGAGCCUUUACUUUUUCUGUCCAGUGGAAUAGUUUGCCGUGUUUUACAAUAAGUGGAGUUACUAUUUGUCACUCGUGUCGGUUGUCAUUCUGCGAAUUUUCGGAAGUGUUUAUUCUGUGAUUAUUUUUAUGAAAUUUGAUUUGAGGAUGUCGCUUCGGAAGUCAAUUUGCUCACGUGUAUUCCUCUGCGCUGAUUCGCCAACAUUCAAGAAGGCGAUGAACGAGGAUGGAAAUCUUCACCCUACGCAUCAGAGCUGUUCCUGACCUUGCAGAUCAUCGCUUCUUCACGG